This is a non-coding RNA of Otolemur garnettii (small-eared galago), 123 nucleotides long. Lineage: Eukaryota; Metazoa; Chordata; Mammalia; Primates; Galagidae. The record is from Rfam.
GCCUAUGGCCAGACUAGCCUGAACGCACCGAAUCUCCUCUGAUCUUGGAAGCCAAGCAGGGUCGGGCCUGGUUAGUACUUGGAUGGGAAGAAGGUGAGGAACCCCCAGAAGUGGCUGAAAGGU